AAUUACAUUUUUUGGGAGCAAAUCUUUGAUUUUUUUCGGAGGGGAGAUUGAAUUAUCGUAAAAUUUUGAGGAUUUAGAUCGUUGAUUGAUUUGGAAGAGUGCAUUCGGGGCAGAAGGGAUGCAAAUUAGGGUUUGUGAACGAUUGUUGUUAUUUGGAGCCAAAUUGCGAAUUUUGCUUUUUGGGCACUAUUAAUGGGAUCAUUAGAAACCAGUAAUCUGGAUAUUUUGGAGGCUAAAUUUCAAAGAAGAGAGCUAAUAAGGACUUGAG
RNAcentral lists this unclassified non-coding RNA (268 nucleotides) under Hevea brasiliensis (rubber tree). The record is from RNAcentral. Lineage: Eukaryota; Viridiplantae; Streptophyta; Magnoliopsida; Malpighiales; Euphorbiaceae.